This 69-nucleotide transfer RNA is filed under the name Megatherium americanum. RNAcentral describes it as "tRNA-Ala". It matches the Rfam family "tRNA". Rfam says of the family: Transfer RNA (tRNA) molecules are approximately 80 nucleotides in length. Their secondary structure includes four short double-helical elements and three loops (D, anti-codon, and T loops). Further hydrogen bonds mediate the characteristic L-shaped molecular structure. tRNAs have two regions of fundamental functional importance: the anti-codon, which is responsible for specific mRNA codon recognition, and the 3' end, to which the tRNAs corresponding amino acid is attached (by aminoacyl-tRNA synthetases). tRNAs cope with the degeneracy of the genetic code in two manners: having more than one tRNA (with a specific anti-codon) for a particular amino acid; and 'wobble' base-pairing, i.e. permitting non-standard base-pairing at the 3rd anti-codon position. The record is from RNAcentral. Lineage: Eukaryota; Metazoa; Chordata; Mammalia; Pilosa; Megatheriidae.
AAGGACUUAGCUUAAUUAAAGUGUUUGAUUUGCGUUCAGUAGAUGUAAGAUAAAGUCUUGCAGUCCUUG